RNAcentral lists this ribosomal RNA (468 nucleotides) under uncultured bacterium. RNAcentral describes it as "partial 16S ribosomal RNA". It matches the Rfam family "Bacterial small subunit ribosomal RNA", at positions 28 to 507 of the family's 1533-position model. The record is from RNAcentral.
GACGAACGCUGGCGGCGUGCUUAACACAUGCAAGUCGAACGGAAAGGCCCUGCUUGUGUGGUGUACUCGAGUGGCGAACGGGUGAGUAACACGUGAGUAACCUGCUCUAGACUUUGGGAUAACUUCAGGAAACUGGGGCUAAUACCGGACAGCAGACCCUGUAGCAGGGUGGGGGUUGGAAAGUUUCGGCGGGUGGGGAUGGACGCGCGGCUUAUCAGCUUGUUGGUGGGGGAGUGGCUUACCAAGGCUUUGACGGGUAGCCGGCUUGGGAGGGUGACCGGCCACAUUGGGACUAAGGUACGGCCCAGACUCCAACGGGAGGCAACGGUGGGGAAUAUUGCCCAGUGGGCGGAAGCCUGAUGCGGCAACGCCGCGUGCGGGAUGACGGCCUUCGGGUUGUAAACCGCUUUCGCCUGUGACGAAGCGUGAGUGACGGUAAUGAGUAAAGAAGCACCGGCUAACUACGUG